CCUACGGGAGGCAGCAGUGAGGAAUAUUGGUCAAUGGACGAAAGUCUGAACCAGCCAUGCCGCGUGCAGGAAGACGGCUCUAUGAGUUGUAAACUGCUUUUGUACAAGGGUAAACCGGAAUAAGUGUAUUCAGCUGAAAGUACUGUACGAAUAAGGAUCGGCUAACGCCGUGCCAGCAGCCGCGGUAAUACGGAGGAUCCAAGCGUUAUCCGGAUUUAUUGGGUUUAAAGGGUGCGUAGGCGGAUUGAUAAGUUAGAGGUGAAAUGUCCGGGCUCAACUCGGGAACUGCCUCUAAUACUGUUGUUCUAGAGCGUAGUUGCGGUAGGCGGAAUGUCUUGUGUAGCGG
This 346-nucleotide ribosomal RNA is filed under the name uncultured bacterium. RNAcentral's name for it is "partial 16S ribosomal RNA". It matches the Rfam family "Bacterial small subunit ribosomal RNA", at positions 338 to 681 of the family's 1533-position model. The record is from RNAcentral.